AAAUGUAUAAAGUUGCAAUCAGAUAUUCAACUCAAAGAAAAAUUUGAUACUGUCUCUUUAACCAGACGUUUAUAAGCCUUCUUAUCAGAGAGAAACACCCCUCACUUCACAAUCACACCUUAUUCAUGUCAUCACUUUUUGGCAGUAUGUACAUUUGUGAACAACUAUUUUCAAGGAUGAAUCACAGGAAGAGUAAAAUUUCAUCAGAAUCUCUGAUGAACACCUUGAGAGCUCAUUAACAAUUGCAGCCUCUUCCACUGAACAAAACUGAUGCAUUAUUUUCACAAAAACAAGAUGAUUUUGAAUUAUUGAAACUUCAAUCAAGCCCAAUUGUAAUACUUGACCUUACAGUGGACCAGAAGAAACCCAGAUCAGAGCACAGCCAAGAAUUUAAGAAAGAUAAAAGAGCAUUGAGAUGGCUAGAUGAUCACUUGGCUCUGGAAAUUUGACGUAUGAAGAGAACAGUAGUGUGAAGCCAUACAAACAGUGGGCAAAGCUGACAGAGAGGCUGGGGUGGCAGAACUGAAGUUGGCGGUACUGCUGCCAGGUGCACGGCACACUGAUCCUGCAGUAUGAAAGCAUCAAAGAGAUGUGACGCUCACUAUGCUUUCCUGCUUUUUUGCUUUCUCUAUGGAAAAAAAACCCAAAAAUAUGUGCUGGAAAAGGAAAGCCCGGUAUGCUGGAAAGGAGCAGCUGAGGUGGUAACUGUAGUGCUUUGGACAAGCAGUCAUCUCUUGUUGUGGAGACUGCCGUGGCUUGGCACUGGAAGGAAGGAAGGUCUUGUUGGCACCAGGUGGGGACACCGAGACACAGGGCUGCAGCAUGAUUAGCCCCAUGGUUUUCAGCAAAGCAUGAGGACAGCAUGUGGCUGCACCAGUAGUGAGGACCUUCUGGUCUCUUCUUUGCUACCAUCUUGCAACCCUUCCCAAAGCGUGCUGCAGGCCCAGCUCCAAUGCUUCAUCAAGAUCCAGGAACUCCCAGAGCUGCCCACGGUCAUGUCACACAGGUUUACACAGGCUUUCCUGGCCUUGCUGCAAUGAGCAGGACUGAAGUGGAAAGUGAUGAGCCUGCUGAGGUCGUCUGGAUGCAGUGAUGUGAAGAGGCAGUAGUUUUCCAGGCUGAUAUUCAGUCUGGAGCCGUAGCACUGAUGCUCCAAGACUGUCACUUCUUUGUGAAACUAUGACUGCUAAAAAGAAACAUUUAUUUUCUUCAUUUGCAAGGCUGUGAAAACACACUCACCUUCCUGCGGACGUGUGCGGAGCAGAGGUGUCAGCUCACCCCAUGCAGCCUGAUGUGGACUACGUCAGUGUGGUCACCCACCCCCUGGAUGAGGUAGUCCUGGCUCCUUCGGGUCAGGCCUCGCAGUACAAAGGCUGCAGAGCUGCAGAAAGGGAGAAGACAAGGAGGGCUGCGCCUGGCCUUUAUCUCUUGCAUGCUUUGGCCCCAUGAAGAACUCCAGCAUGUCUGCCUGGUGAACAACGAGUUGAAUGCCUGGUGAUGUCCAGUGAGUCAGGAACAACCCACAUUGAGGUUAGACAUCAACACAGAGCAAGACACCUUCUCCAGCUCUGCAAGAACCGGGAAUUGAGUUGGGGGAAUCUCUCUUUCACCUGUCUGCCAAAAUCCCCUUGUUAAAAUAAG
Gallus gallus (chicken) is the source of this 1641-nucleotide long non-coding RNA. The record is from Ensembl. NCBI's taxonomy places the organism in Eukaryota, Metazoa, Chordata, Aves, Galliformes, Phasianidae.